GAUGAACGCUGGCGGCGUGCCUAAUACAUGCAAGUCGAGCGAACAGAUGAGGAGCUUGCUCCUCUGACGUUAGCGGCGGACGGGUGAGUAACACGUGGAUAACCUACCUAUAAGACUGGGAUAACUUCGGGAAACCGGAGCUAAUACCGGAUAAUAUAUUGAACCGCAUGGUUCAAUAGUGAAAGACGGUUUUGCUGUCACUUAUAGAUGGAUCCGCGCCGCAUUAGCUAGUUGGUAAGGUAACGGCUUACCAAGGCAACGAUGCGUAGCCGACCUGAGAGGGUGAUCGGCCACACGGGAACUGAGACACGGUCCAGACUACUAAGGGAGGCAGCAGUAGGGAAUCUUCCGCAAUGGGCGAAAGCCUGACGGAGCAACGCCGCGUGAGUGAUGAAGGUCUUCGGAUCGUAAAACUCUGUUAUUAGGGAAGAACAAAUGUGUAAGUAACUAUGCACGUCUUGACGGUACCUAAUCAGAAAGCCACGGCUAACUACGUG
This 497-nucleotide ribosomal RNA is filed under the name uncultured bacterium. Its description in RNAcentral is "partial 16S ribosomal RNA". It matches the Rfam family "Bacterial small subunit ribosomal RNA", at positions 28 to 507 of the family's 1533-position model. The record is from RNAcentral.